GAGCUUGCUGGUGUCCGUAGGCUAUAUUGAUAUGCAGGUUAAUUCUGUAUUUAGCUUUUGUGCACCUCACCAUUGUUUUCCACUGGUGGCUGCUGCUGUAGACUUUCAAAGAAGACUUGAAAUCCAAAGGAUUAAUCUCAAUCUGAAAGUAGCUGCAUUAACUGAAUCCUGCUGGGCGAAGUAUGUGCCGCAUCUAUGUGCGCCUUUCAUGUUUUCCUCUAGGUUAAUUCCAUUGGUGUGCUAGGGUUGUAGCAGUUCCAUACUGUUACAAAAAGAAGCAUUUUUUGUAGAGUUGUCACGAUAAUACCAACAUUGACGGUGGAUAAAUUCAUUGACUGUACCACUCACUCAUUGCUGCUAAGAACAGGAGUUUUGAUUUACAGUUUCAAGCAAAAUUUAUUUGGCAAACUCCCUUCCAUGAGUUAAGGUAUGUUUGUACUUUUGAGAAAUUUUCUCUCUUUUUCAGUAUUAUUAAUAGUUAUUGAAUUUUAAAGUUUUUAAGUAACUGCAGAAUUGUCGAACAUUUCUCGAACACAAUGCUGUUAGUAACUUCUUUUGUUCGAGGAAAACAGUAGGCUUCCUUACUGUAUUCUUGUAUAUGUAAUGCAAAGAAGACGAGAGGCUGUGCAGCCCUGAAGUUGGAGCAGCAGCACCAGGCUAGAUAAAAAGCACUCACAUGUACAGUCCUCUAAUCUGGGAGUAAGGUUUUCUGUUAGCUCUGUGCAGAACUGUUGAUAACUUGACAAUUUUAUAUUGAUCAAUCAUGAACCAUUCAGUUUGCUGACCCUUGUUUCCUGUAGUGACCACUAAAGCAAUGUGUCAAUGUGUUGCUGUAUCUGGGCUCACCGCUGUUGCUGUAAACAGUUCUGAAAGCAACAGUGUGCUAUGGGAGUUUUGUUUGGCAGUGUAAGUUUAAAUUGUCUCAUGCUUGCUUUGUGUUAGAAUUCAGUCUUAAAACGCUGCCGGACGCGAGAAGCUGUUGGUUGAAGUAAAGAUAAAUAUCAGGGGCAACUACUGUUAGAAAAUAUGCGAACGAUCGCGGAAAAAUAGAUGGGAGAGACGUUAUUUGUUAACGAGGUUCACUAUUAUGGCUACCUCUCGGGGCAAUGACCAUAGCCGCACCUUCCCAUGUACUGAAUCGACAUAGUAUAGUACAGAUCGACGACAAGCCUGCGCACUGAUGCCAUUAGACACAUCUCCACCAUGCGCAAUGGCCGGUCCGGGCAUCCCUUGCCAUUGGUACCUGGACCGAUUUCAAAUGGUAACCGUGUGUGCACUCGAGUGUAUUGAAACACUUUCGGAUUGUGCGCCCAUCAUACACGACUCUUAACUCUCUUAGCUCCCUUAGUACUCGUCGCCCAUUUAAAUUUGAGUUGGGAUGGUUAGUUAGGUGGGCUUUGCUGACUUAGAGUGCGUGCGAGAAGCUUGUCGUUGGUCAAAACACCGAUUCAGCACCGAUUCAGCGAUGGAACUUUAAGAUCAUAGCCUGAAGGUGAUUCCAAUUUGGAUGGACGCAACACACUAGUGGUAUUUAUGAAAAAGAGAAGCAGUGUCGUUCCAGGAUUACUGAUGAUCUCGAUAAAAUCACAGAGCCUCGCAUUUGUGAGACCUCAAUAGAUUGAUUGAAAACAUCAAUCCAAUGAGAAGAUUGGAUGUCUUUUUCUAGAAGAGGAAAUCAAGUGGUAUAGAAGAUCUGACCCCUGUUCCAUUUUGGAGGGAGACAACAAUACACGAUACUUCCACAUGGUUUGCAAACCGCAAGUGCACAUCGUUUGCAAAACUGCACGAGUUUACCCGUGUGCCUUGUCAGCUACCCUGACAUGUUGGGCCCACCUCCUGACGGCACAACAAAUCCCAAGUGCGCACGUCAGGCUAGCUUACGCUUCUAUGGGCCCGUGUGGUUGAACGCGUCCAUCCUGACACCAGUGUCUACCACUUAAGGCAGGGAGGACCGAGGAGAGGCCCAUCCGGUGGAUCAAAGGCAAUGGACACUUGGUGGCUACCUCUCCCCCUUUCACCUCUCGCAAGACUAGUUCAUCCAUUUGGGUAACCGACUCAGUAAUCGGGACUAGCUACCCAAUUUCCAAAGAUAAUCGAGUGAUUUGGUGUGGGUGCUAACAUCUGGUAUCAGAGACAAGGCACCACCUCUUCGCUUCGCUCGGUCUAGUACAAUUCGCCGAGACAAGGCGUCUACGGUAGACUCAUCUUCACCUUGAAGCAAUGGAUCUGCACAGAGUACCACGACUACUCUCACAGCUUGCUCACAUGAAAGCCAGUAUAUGAGGACGUGUGAUCGUCUGUUGUUAAUCUCAUGAAUGCCAGCAUGCGCUGACGCGUUUCCCCGGAUUGAAUGAACUUCAUAUGUAGGCUGACUUCACCAAUUCUUGUUGGCUUCAAAGCUUGGCAAAACGUGCUACUUAUCGUCCCUAAGGGCGAGUCAGCGCAUACUUUACCUUGCAGGAAUCAUCAGGAAACUUGGAUGGUGAGGCCCAUGGUUACAAGUUUCCAUAAUCUUCGGGUAGUCAUGGGCCUCGCCUACCCGGAGAUUGUGGAAACUUGUAACCAUGGGCCUCGUCGUCCUUUAUAAGGCGAGGUCAGGCUAGUCAAUAGGCACCUUACAAUCUCAUACUUUCACCCACUCGAUACACCCACGAUUGUCAUUGUACCAUGUGAUGUCCAUCUAUCAAUAACAAUAAAAGAGCAGUAAGUAGGGUUUUACUUCCACCGAGAUGACCGAAGCCUAGGUAAACCUUGCCUCUUUGAUUCCCAUCCCGAUCGUUCAGCUAGACAUGACACCCUACUGAGGGAUCUACCAGAUUUUGCACCAACAUAGGUUUGAUUGUACUUGAGUUUUCAUUGUGUUUGGAGUAGUUGUAGUUUCUUGUUUCUUCAUGUAAGAGAUGCCUACCAUAUCAUAAGAUUCCUAGUAUUAAAAAUAGGCACUUGUCAGAAUCCAGAAGACAAAGCCUCUAGGUUAUAUUUUUUGGUAGACUUUUAUGCGAAAUUCUUCUGGAGUAUCUGCAUCAUAUUGUAUUCUCUUGAGAUCAUACGCUAACUAUGAUCCACCAGGUGCAUGUUGAGGAGUUGAAAUUUAGAAGACUUAAUUAUGGGAUGGUUACUCUGAUUCCUAAAAUGAAUGAUGCUGUAACUACUCCCUCCGGUCCUUUUUACUCUACAUAUAAGAAUUGUCUGAAGUCAAACUUCACAAAGUUUGACCAUAUUUAUACGAAAAAAUAUCAACAUCUAUCAUGCAAAAGUUAUACACUAUGAAACUUUAAGUCAUGAGCAUCUACAGGUAUUGAUUUCACAUUGUGAAUAUUGGUAUUUUUCUUUAUAAAGUUGGUCAAACUUUACAAGGCUUGACUUCAGGCAAAUCUUAUAUGCGAACUAAAAAGGACCGGAGGGAGUAUCACUUGCCCCCGUUGGUCGAAGUAUCUUAGUCGGUGCACUCCUCAUAUCCUCUUUUUGUACCUAAAGUAUUCCCAGUUGAUAAUACAAACAUAGUUUUAUUCUUAAAAACAAUACAACCUAAAUAUGAUUCUCCCUUAAAAUAAAUAAAUAAAACUGUGAUGUAAGAAACACAAGAGGUAAUGACCAGAUCAUCCAAUAUAUACCCUAAAAGUUCAUCAAAUAUAUGUGCGGCGAGUGUGUCGCAAAAAUGUUCAUUUCGAUAGCACACCACUGAAAAUAAAUAAAUACUAUUUGCUCUGUAAAUAUUUCUUUGCAGAGGGACUACUACUACAAUUUUACCACCAGCUCGUUUUCCUUGGUCUUGCGUCUAGAUUUCCAUUUUGCAAAAAAAGAACAGUUUUUUUGGGGGGCAUUUUCUUGCAUCUGCUGAAAAAACAAAAACAAACCAUUUUUAGCCGUGUGGCCUGUGCUUUUUUGCCGUUUUAUUAGGGGUAUGCGGCCUGGGCUCGCACAGCAGACGCGGUCGACGCAGGGCCACGCGAGCCCACUGAGGCAGCAGGUCGGCACUACGAGACGGACGGGAGACUCGCGGUGGGUCAACCAGUCCUUCUCCUCCUCCUUGUCGUCCGCCGCCGAAGUUGAAAAAGAAGUCCACUCCGCCGCCGUCCUCCACUCAACCCUCAUCUCCAUUCCCAGUUCCCACCCUGCUGACUUAUCUCUUGGCCGCGCCACUUGUAGUGGCGGCUACAUUGGCUGGCGAGCGAGCAGGAGAGCAGCGCGAGCGCUAGCGGAGGUCAUCGUCCGGAGGGCGGAGGUACGAAAUGGCCUCCUUUUUCUUGUCACGGUUUCAGGCAGUUCCUCCUGCAACUCAGAGCUCUGUGGAAGAUAAGCUCCGAUCCAUCACUUAUUGAUGAUCCACAGUUACUACAAACUUGGGAAGGUGGAUCUCCUCAACCUUUUCAGUUAUUGAUGUAUGCAGGCGUUUCCCAGUUCUCUACAUUGUUUUUACUUUUUAUUUACUGAUUAUGUUCUUGUUCUAUAACUUUUUUUUUCAGAGCCCCUCAGUUUCUACAAGUUCCCUGACGAUGAGGUCGUUCCUAUCAUCCGUGGAUCUGGCUUGUCAUCCACGGAUGGCCGUGGUUAUCCUCCCCCUCCUCUUCCUGCCCCUCGUGCCUCUCGCCGCUGCCCAAGCUUGGCCAUUUUGUGGCGACAGCGGUGUCUACGAACCAGAUAGCACCUACCAAGCCAACCUCAGGCACCUCUCAUCCACCCUCCCGAAGAAGGCAGCAUCCAGUACCACCCUCUUCGCCACCGACACCCAUGGCAAUGUUCCGAAUGUCAUCUUCGCCCUCGCACUCUGCCGCGGGGACUCCAACGCCUCUUCCUGUGAGGGCUGUUUGGUUACCGCCUUCCAGGACGGGCAGGAGCACUGCCCCAACAGCAAGGACACCACCGUGUACUACUAUAGUAAUCCCUGCAUGCUCAGGUUCUCCAACAAGAAUUUUCUUGCCACCACCCACAAUGACAAAAUACUCGUUGCGAGCAUGGAAAUGCCGCUCAACAUCUGGACAAGAGGUGACUCCUUCAGGCGCUUGUUGUUCACGCUUAUGGACAACACAGCUCAAUUGGCUACGAACAGCUCGAGGAGGUUCGCCACCUCGCGCUUAGACGUCACCUUCUUCCCGACGGUCUACUGCCUUAUGCAGUGCACGCCAGACCUGACCGCCGACGACUGCACCGCAUGUUUGCAGCCUUACUUCCAGUAUACAGUCAAAUACAUGUAUGGUAAGGAAGGUGGUAGAGUACUGGGGACACGGUGUACCAUGAGGUACGAGAUAUUCCCAUUCUUCCAAGGGAAGCCCAUGCUGCGUAUUAUCAACUUGCUAUCUGAAGUUCCGCCGAUCAACAACACCAUGCCCCGGGUUACCGUGAACCCACCCCCACGGCCACAGUCACAGUCACAGUCGCCGGUUGCGGCACCACCACCUCCAGAGGCGCAAGCGAGCACCCAAGAACUUCAUGGUAUGUGAAUUCUCAUCCUUCCUGACACAUCUUGCGUGAUACAAAUUUUUUAUUAGAAAAUUCUAGGAAAAGAACUUUCCAUUUUUGAAAAAAGAGUGAACUCCCUUUGUCUUUCCGUUGAGUGACGAUGCACGCAGAUUACGCCCGAAGGUACUUAUAAUUAUAUAUUUAUAUGAAAACUAUAGAUGAAUUCGUCUUUUUUUUAGGACGCAACUCACACCGGAAGGCACUGUGGAUUAUUGCUAUUGCAGCUCCAUUACUGUCAAUAUGUAUGUGCUUUAUCUGUUGCAUUGUAUGGAUGACAAGACGAAGAAAAGGUUUGUUGUUAUCACGGUUACAAACAUUGCUCUAAAACACUACCGCACAUUUAUGUAGUCGGCCUUAACGUUGUAAAUUUGUGUGUCCUCUCAAUUUAGGAACUGAUAUCUUACACGAUCAAGCUGCCACGACCACGAAUAGGCUGGAAGAAGAUGCAUUGGUUUCGAGAUUGGAAGACAAGAGUUCAGAGUUCACUCUCUUUGAAUUUUCUAAGAUAUUGCAUGCUACACACAACUUCUCCAAAGAAAACCUACUUGGGCAAGGUGGUUUUGGUCCUGUCUACAAGGUAAAUGCAUUGUCCAGGAAAGAUUCAAUCAAUAUUCUUUCUAAAAAAUAUAUUAAAUCACGAUUGCCUAAAAACAUCCUUAUAUAUUUAGUUAUUUAUAGUAGCGUUGUUUACAGUCUAUAAUGAAUCGUGCUAUGUGUGCUUAGUUUUUUAAGCUACCUUGGAAAAUAAUCUAUAUACAUUCCAAUAUCUACAAUGGUAGUUAUCAUAUAAUUUAUCUUGUAGUAACCUAUUAUAGAAAAAAGCGAAGCCACACGCUUUCCAUUAUAUUAUCGAUGCCCUAGAAUGAAAAUAAUAAUAAUGCAGAUGGUUGCUUGAUAAACAUAUAGUGUAUAUAGCCUAAAAUCCAAUGUUAUAUUGUAUCUCAACCAAAUAUGAUUAGCACAAGUAACCUCAUACGGGGCCUUAAACUAGAAAGAAAAAAUUAAGGAACUCUUGAUAAACAUGCUUAUUUUGCCCUAAAAUGCACUGAAAUGGAAUAUUAAGACAAUGUAUUGGAUAUGUGAUGUUGUAUAUCCCAAAAGUCUUCCCAUUGAUGGCAUGUGAUUCAUUUUCUGCAAUUUCAAUAAAAUAUAAUGCCUCCGGUUAUGUACAUACUUCCAGGGCCAAUUACCAGAUGGAGUGGAAAUUGCAGUUAAAAGGCUUGCCUCACAUUCAGGACAGGGUUUCACAGAAUUCAAAAAUGAAGUUGAACUUAUUGCGAAACUACAGCACAAUAAUCUGGUCAAGCUCAUAGGAUGCUGCAUUGAGGGAGAGGAAAGACUUUUGGUGUACGAAUAUUUGCCAAAUAAGAGCCUGGACUUCUUUAUCUUUGGUAUGCACAAUGUAGGUUAACCAUUAUUUUCGAUCGUGUUUCAGCCAUACUAUAAAAUGCACUCUCUAAUGUGCAGAUGUUAGCCGAACAACUUUGGUUGAUUGGAAUAAAAGAUGUAUGAUAAUCGAAGGGAUAGCCCAAGGUCUACUGUAUCUCCACAAGCACUCUCGGUUGCGCAUCAUACACAGGGACCUUAAGGCCAGCAACAUUCUCUUGGACCAGGGGAUGAAUCCCAAAAUUUCUGAUUUUGGGUUAGCAAAAAUUUUCAGCUCCAAUGAUAUUCAAGGAAGCACAAAGAGGGUGGUGGGAACAUAGUAAGCAUAUGGCACGAUUAAUUAGAAAACCAUUAAUCAGAUGAUUCAUCAACCUUUAAAAUUUGACAUAUUAUUUUACUUAUGCUUCUAACUCAUUUCAGUGGUUAUAUGGCUCCAGAGUAUGCAUCUGAAGGCAUUUACUCGAUGAAAUCUGAUGUGUUCAGCUUUGGUGUGUUACUUCUCGAGAUUCUUAGCGGACAAAGGAAUUCUGGUUUCCAUCAGCACGAAGACUUUCUUAACCUCCUUGGAUAUGUGAGCAUUUUGCAAAUUCUCACACAAAUAUGUAUAUUAUUUGUAAGCCGAAGUAAUUUUUGGCAUGUACGUGAUGAUAAAUUAUCUGCAGUCAUGGCAGCUCUGGGAAGGAGGAAGAUGUCUUGAGAUUCUAGAAGCAUCAAUUGCUAAGGAGAUCCAUGCAGCGGAGGCUAGGAGGUACAUUAACAUUGCACUAAUGUGCGUACAAGAGCACGCAGAUGAUCGACCAACAAUGUCAAAUGUUAUUGCGAUGUUAAAUAGCGAGAGUGUUAUUCUUCCAGAUCCUAAACAUCCAGCAUACUUCAGCCUAAGGGUAUCUAAGGUAGAUGAAUCGGAUAAUAAUGACGUAACCGUCUGCAGUAAUAACGACUUAACCAUCACUGAGGAGCCAGAUGGCAGAUAGUUGAUCACCUUGGUUCAAUUGUUAAUGGAAGUGCUAGCAAUCAGACAGCAGGCAGGCAUACCAGGUCAAGUGAACUAGGGCAGACCAAGUAAGCCUAUCAUAUUUUUGUUAUGAAGGAUGGCGACCGGCGUAUCUCUGUAGCGGUUGUUCUGUCCUGCGGUGAAUGAAGCUUUUCACUGUAUGCAUAGGCCGUAUUGAUAUGCUGGUGUAUAUAGCUUUUGUGCACCGCACCAUCGUUUUCCACUGGUGGCUGCUGCGGUAGACUUUAAAGGAAGACUUGAAACCCAAAGGAUUUCAAUCUGAUAAUAGAUGUAUUUUUCCACUGGUGGCUGCUGCUAUAUAUAUACUUUAAAAGAAGACUUGAAAUCCAAAGAAUUUCA
RNAcentral lists this long non-coding RNA (8200 nucleotides) under Triticum aestivum (bread wheat). Its description in RNAcentral is "long non-coding RNA (TAES_LNC028140)". The record is from RNAcentral. Lineage: Eukaryota; Viridiplantae; Streptophyta; Magnoliopsida; Poales; Poaceae.